UCAUGCCAAUGGCACUGCCCGGUAGCUAAAUGCGGAAGAGAUAAGUGCUGAAAGCAUCUAAGCACGAAACUUGCCCCGAGAUGAGUUCUCCCUGAGACUUAGAGUCUCCUGAAGGAACGUUGAAGACGACGACGUUGAUAGGCCGGGUGUGUAAGCGCAGCGAUGCGUUGAGCUAACCGGUACUAAUGAACCGUGAGGCUUAA
This 203-nucleotide ribosomal RNA is filed under the name Salmonella enterica subsp. enterica serovar Infantis. RNAcentral's name for it is "partial 23S ribosomal RNA". It matches the Rfam family "Bacterial large subunit ribosomal RNA", at positions 2724 to 2925 of the family's 2925-position model. Lineage: Bacteria; Pseudomonadati; Pseudomonadota; Gammaproteobacteria; Enterobacterales; Enterobacteriaceae. The record is from RNAcentral.